Molecule: ribosomal RNA, 217 nt
Filed under: uncultured bacterium
Lineage: Bacteria
Description: partial 16S ribosomal RNA
Rfam family: Bacterial small subunit ribosomal RNA
Source: RNAcentral
CAUCCCAGUUCGGAUUGCAGGCUGCAACCCGCCUGUAUGAAGUUGGAAUCGCUAGUAAUCGCGGAUCAGCAUGCCGCGGUGAAUACGUUCCCGGGCCUUGUACACACCGCCCGUCACACCAUGGGAGUCGGUAACACCCGAAGUCGGUAGCCUAACCGUAAGGAGGGCGCCGCCGAAGGUGGGAUUGAUGACUGGGGUGAAGUCGUAACAAGGUAAC